UGGGGAAUUUUGGACAAUGGGCGAAAGCCUGAUCCAGCAAUGCCGGGUGUGUGAAGAAGGCCUUCGGGUUGUAAAGCACUUUUGUCCGGAAAGAAAUCCUUGGCUCUAAUACAGUCGGGGGAUGACGGUACCGGAAGAAUAAGCACCGGCUAACUACGUGCCAGCAGCCGCGGUAAUACGUAGGGUGCAAGCGUUAAUCGGAAUUACUGGGCGUAAAGCGUGCGCAGGCGGUUUGCUAAGACCGAUGUGAAAUCCCCGGGCUCAACCUGGGAACUGCAUUGGUGACUGGCAGGCUAGAGUAUGGCAGAGGGGGGUAGAAUUCCACGUGUAGCAGUGAAAUGCGUAGAGAUGUGGAGGAAUACCGAUGGCGAAGGCAGCCCCCUGGGCCAAUACUGACGCUCAUGCACGAAAGCGUGGGGAGCAAACAGGAUUGGAUACCCUGGUAGUCCACGCCCUAAACGAUGUCAACUAGUUGUUGGGGAUUCAUUUUCCUUAGUAACGUAGCUAACGCGUGAAGUUGACCGCCU
RNAcentral lists this ribosomal RNA (527 nucleotides) under uncultured bacterium. RNAcentral describes it as "partial 16S ribosomal RNA". It matches the Rfam family "Bacterial small subunit ribosomal RNA", at positions 355 to 874 of the family's 1533-position model. The record is from RNAcentral.